Molecule: long non-coding RNA, 2821 nt
Filed under: Triticum aestivum (bread wheat)
Lineage: Eukaryota; Viridiplantae; Streptophyta; Magnoliopsida; Poales; Poaceae
Description: long non-coding RNA (TAES_LNC000153)
Source: RNAcentral
AAUGAUGUUGUAUUAUCAAGAAAUUUGUCGUACUAGUACAUUAUUCCAUGAUGCAGUCUGCUAAUAUAGCUUACUGCAAACUAUUUUAAACCAGGUUGGUCGGGCAAUCUGGUGCUUAUCUGCUGGGAUUUUGAAUUGAAUAUGUGUGGAAUUUCUGGUAGCUAUGUGGAUCUAUUGGCUCCGAAAACUGAUACCCCAGUGUCUACAAUUUGUUGCCAUGUAGGGUAUGAUAUAAAUCUCAGAUUUUCUUGUUUAAUUAGUCACAAUUGUUAAUUUGUUAAUGGCUUCAUGUAUGCAGCUCAAGCGUCUCUCCUUCAUCAGGUAAAAUGUCAACCUGAAAAUCGUCUAGGCAGCAGGGUACAUCCCCAAGAGGCCCAAUUGCAGGUACAGAUAAUAAAACACAUCUUUGUAACUUUCUAAGCAACACACGAGUAGAAAAUUGCUGUAUCCAGAAGUGAGGCUAGACAUGCUUGCUAUUACUUAUUUCAAGCUUGAGCUUUUAGUUUCUGUUGAUGUGACCACAAGGUUGUUUUUUGUGUAUAUUAAUCUGACGGAACUAUAUGACGCCAAUGAUGGAUGGCUUGGAUGCAGUACUUUAACCUAAAAUUUAACCUGAAGAGCAUCUCUUAUUUGUGCCCUGUUUCUAGAAUAUUUUAAAUAUUUGAAUGUUAUGACAAAUGAAAUCAAACUAUUUCUUGUACCAUUGGUGGUUUAAUGUUUCAAUUGUUCCCAUUGGGGUGGCCUCAUAGUUUUCUGAGAAAGAAAUAUGAUCUGGAGAAGCAAAUGUCAAGUUCAUCUGUUCGUACCGAAGUUGUAGAAGUAACUAGAAGUGAUCAUUUUGUCGGUGUGGAACGACACCUAUGGGAUCACAAGAAUCCCUCCUACGGUUGCCGGGGCGCAGGGUUGCGAGAAGAGCAGGAUUAGUAAUCAACACAAGGAUCGUUUACCCAGGUUCGGGCCGCGAAGAUGCGUAAAACCCUAGUCCCGCUUUGGUGGGUGUAUUUCAGAGAGUUCUUGACCUCUCAAACUAGCUAUGGUGGGGUGUGUGGUUCCAAAGAACCGAAUCCUUCUCCAGUAUGCCAUGGGCCUCCUUUUAUAGUCAAAAGGGGCUGCCACAGUGGCAUACAGGAGGUGGAAAGGCGUAGAGUAUUGCGAUCUUAUCGCUCGUAUUACAGGACAAGUCGCAUUUAAUGCGCUGCUGAUGUGUCCCCUAGCUUUAUUGGGGACGGAGGCAACGCCCGUCCCGUCCGUCGCCGCUCCUUCUUGCUUUGACACGCGCCCCGGCUAGUGACGCGUGCGGCGCCAUGUAGGCAGGCAGGCAGCUGAGGUGGCGCGGUGGCAAGGCCUCUACGAAGAUCUGCAUGCCGCCACGCAGGCGCUUGCUGAGUUGGCUUGGAAGCUGCAUGUUGCCACGCAGGUGCUUGCCCAGCUGGUUGGGCUGGCAGCUGCAUGCGAACGGCGGUGGAAACUUGGUGCGGGCCUGGCAGUGGCCCUGCUGGCGCCCCCGGCAAGGGCCUUGCCGUGGCGCGCUGUCGUCCCCGGCAAGGAUCUUGCCGGGGGUCUCGUGGUUCCCCUCAGCAAGGAUCUUGCCGAGGAUCGCCGCCUUCUAAUCCUCAUCUGAUCUUGAAUAUUCCUUGUCUUCACAAAGAUCUGCAUGCCACCACAGAGGUGCCUCCCGAGCCCUAGCCCAACGUGGAUGAUGGUGUUGGGGACGUGGUCUCAAGGGUGGCUCGCUCUGUUGGUGUUUGACGGGCCGCCCCGGCAAGGGGCUUGCCGUGGGAGCCUGCUUCGUCCUUCUGCUCUUUAUAGUCUUGGUCUUGGCGUUGUUCUGGCUGCCUUGGGCUUCGGUUUUACCUCGGUUCACCUCCUCUGCUCUGCUUGGUGUGGACGUGGGCGCGGCUCCGAAUGCCCGUGCACAGGUAAAGGGGUACAAAGGUGCGCCCCUUCUUUUGUACACCGAUAAUUUUUUCUGGGCACUAGCUCUCUUCUAGUAGAACACAAUCUAUACUGCUGGUUUGUCAUGUUUGUUGGCCGUUAGAAAAUUAUAAUUAUAUAUUUAGUUCAAAUUAUGGAAACCUAGCUAAAAUUUCCAAUCCAUGUAGACACCAGAAAUUAUUGUGAACAUAGACCUAAUAUUGACGUGACGUGCGCUAACAACAAGCAAACAAACUGUUUGAUUUGUGUCUUGUUGCACACCGGUCAAAAUUUAACCGCUACUAUGUUCAAUCGAUAUAUUUGUCUAGGCAUUCUCCCUUUGCCGACAUAUAUAUAGGAUUUACUUUGUUUAUUGAAAAUAUUUCUAUAAACGUAUGUUGAUACUUUUUAUACUUAUAUUAAAAAUCCCUGGGUUCAUAGUUACUGUACACCUUCUACUCAAUAUUUGACAGAGUAAUAAAAGAUGGUUGAUAAAUAUGUUGCUCUGAACCUUGGUUUAUUAAGUGGCGGAGCUUUGACAGGGCGAACCUGGGCAGGCCAGGUCAUUUACUUAGAAGACGAGCACUCCACCAGGCUGUUUCUCAAUGUAUCAUUUUGGUCUCUUGUAGUAAACAACUGUGUGGUUAAGUAGUAUUUUGGUACUUACCUCAAAAGAAGGUUGUAUUUUGGUAGUACCCUGUUUUGGAGAAGCUUUUAUAUGUAAUUGGUGUUAGAAAUGUAUUUUGUAAGAAGAUAGGAUCAAUAUGCUUAACAUGCUACAAAUUGUAACUUGUGGUCGUACUUUGGUAUUUCAAAAACAAAAUCAUAUCACUUUGUAGCCCCCCUCCCCCUUGAAAUUUUUGUUCAGAUUUUGAAAAAUAGGGAAGCUAGAGAGGCUAGAGUUUGU